CAAUGGGGGAAACCCUGNAUGCAGCGACGCCGCGUGGAGGAAGAAGGUCUUCGGCAUUGUAAACUCCUGUUGUUGAGGAAGAUAAUGACGGUACUCAACAAGGNAAGUGACGGCUAACUACGUGCCAGCAGCCGCGGUAAUACGUAGGGGGCAAGCGUUAUCCGGAUUUACUGGGUGUAAAGGGAGCGUAGACGGUGUGNCAAGUCUGAUGUGAAAGGCAUGGGCUCAACCUGUGGACUGCAUUGGAAACUGUCAUACUUGAGUGCCNGAAGGGUAAGCGGAAUUCCUAGUGUAGCGGUGAAAUGCGUAGAUAUUAGGAGGAACACCAGUGGCGAAGGCGGCUUACUGGACNGUAACUGACGUUGAGGCUCGAAAGCGUGGGGAGCAAACAGGAUUAGAUACCCUGGUAGUCCAAGGGCGAAUUC
RNAcentral lists this ribosomal RNA (425 nucleotides) under uncultured bacterium. RNAcentral's name for it is "SSU rRNA". It matches the Rfam family "Bacterial small subunit ribosomal RNA", at positions 369 to 808 of the family's 1533-position model. The record is from RNAcentral.